RNAcentral lists this ribosomal RNA (408 nucleotides) under uncultured delta proteobacterium. RNAcentral describes it as "bacterial SSU rRNA". It matches the Rfam family "Bacterial small subunit ribosomal RNA", at positions 138 to 523 of the family's 1533-position model. Lineage: Bacteria; Deltaproteobacteria. The record is from RNAcentral.
CGGGGAGUAACCCUUCGAAAGAGGGGCUAAUACCGGAUGCGCCCACGGGCAGAGAUGCCUGGGGGCAAAGGGUGCUCCUGAAUAGGGGCAUGCCCUCGUGGCGGGGCCCGCGGCCUAUCAGCUAGUUGGUAGGGUAACGGCCUACCAAGGCGAAGACGGGUAGCUGGUCUGAGAGGAUGGCCAGCCACACGGGGACUGAGACACGGCCCCGACUCCUACGGGAGGCAGCAGUGGGGAAUAUUGGGCAAUGGGCGCAAGCCUGACCCAGCGACGCCGCGUGGGUGAUGAAGGCCUUCGGGUCGUAAAGCCCUGUCGGGUGGAAAGAACGACUGUGGGGCGAAUAGCUCCAUAGUGUGACGGUACCACCGAAGGAAGCACCGGCCAAUUCCGUGCCAGCAGCCGCGGUAA